Molecule: long non-coding RNA, 246 nt
Organism: Rana temporaria (common frog)
Lineage: Eukaryota; Metazoa; Chordata; Amphibia; Anura; Ranidae
Exons: 2
Source: RefSeq, a predicted model, not a curated record
CCCUCGCCGGAUGUACAGGAAGUGCAAAAUGCCACCACAUGGGGAGGUGUUCGAGCUAUUGGGGGCAGAUUGGACACCUACAGUGCCCAGGUCAUAAUUGGGGAGCUCAUGUCCUGCAGGGCAGAAAUAGAGGACACAAACCUCGCCUUAGAGAAGAUUUUAAAGAAAAACCGAAAGGUGGACCAAAAACUGAAGAAUCUCAUUGAUGUGCUGGGGAGGGUUUUAAAAAAAAAAAAUAGAUGUAGA